This 497-nucleotide ribosomal RNA is filed under the name uncultured bacterium. RNAcentral describes it as "partial 16S ribosomal RNA". It matches the Rfam family "Bacterial small subunit ribosomal RNA", at positions 28 to 507 of the family's 1533-position model. The record is from RNAcentral.
GAUGAACGCUGGCGGCGUGCCUAAUACAUGCAAGUCGAGCGAACAGACGAGGAUCUUGCUCCUCUGACGUUAGCGGCGGACGGGUGAGUAACACGUGGAUAACCUACCUAUAAGACUGGGAUAACUUCGGGAAACCGGAGCUAAUACCGGAUAAUAUAUUGAACCGCAUGGUUCAAUAGUGAAAGACGGUUUUGCUGUCACUUAUAGAUAGAUCCGCGCCGCAUUAGCUAGUUGGUAAGGUAACGGCUUACCAAGGCAACGAUGCGUAGCCGACCUGAGAGGGUGAGCGGCCACACUGGAACUGAGACACGGUCCAGACUCCUACGGGAGGCAGCAGUAGGGAAUCUUCCGCAAUGGGCGAAAGCUUGACGGAGCAACGCCGCGUGAGUGAUGAAGGUCUUCGGAUCGUAAAACUCUGUUAUUAGGGAAGAACAAAUGUGUAAGUAACUAUGCACGUCUUGACGGUACCUAAUCAGAAAGCCACGGCUAACUACGUG